Actinoplanes friuliensis DSM 7358 is the source of this 60-nucleotide regulatory RNA element. It matches the Rfam family "Actino-pnp RNA". NCBI's taxonomy places the organism in Bacteria, Bacillati, Actinomycetota, Actinomycetes, Micromonosporales, Micromonosporaceae. The record is from Rfam.
CCCGGUCCUCGGUAGUGGUUCCCGAGCAUUGAAUCUCGGGCACUUCGAUCGAAGACCGGC